This 492-nucleotide ribosomal RNA is filed under the name uncultured bacterium. RNAcentral describes it as "partial 16S ribosomal RNA". It matches the Rfam family "Bacterial small subunit ribosomal RNA", at positions 29 to 507 of the family's 1533-position model. The record is from RNAcentral.
AGUGAACGCUGGCGGUAGGCCUAACACAUGCAAGUCGAACGGCAGCACAGUAAGAGCUUGCUCUUACGGGAGGCGAGUGGCGGACGGGUGAGGAAUACAUCGGAAUCUACUUUUUCGUGGGGGAUAACGUAGGGAAACUUACGCUAAUACCGCAUACGACCUACGGGUGAAAGCAGGGGAUCUUCGGACCUUGCGCGGUUGAAUGAGCCGAUGUGGGAUUAGCUAGUUGGCGGGGUAAAGGCCCACCAAGGCGACGAUCCGUAGCUGGUCUGAGAGGAUGACCAGCCACACUGGAACUGAGACACGGUCCAGACUCCUACGGGAGGCAGCAGUGGGGAAUAUUGGACAAUGGGCGCAAGCCUGAUCCAGCCAUACCGCGUGGGUGAAGAAGGCCUUCGGGUUGUAAAGCCCUUUUGUUGGGAAAGAAAAGCAGCAGGUUAAUACCCCGCUGUUCUGACGGUACCCAAAGAAGAAGCACCGGCUAACUUCGUG